AUUCUAAACGGCCAUUGGAACUUCUCCUUAUAGGCUGGUGUAUGGCAAGGCAUGCCAUUUGCCAGUUGAACUUGAACACAAUGCCAUGUAGGCAUUAAAGAAGCUGAAUAUGGAUUGCAGGGAGGCAACCAAGCUUAGGUUGUUUCAACUAAAUUAGAUGGAUGAAUUCUGGUACCAAGAAUAUGAGAGUGCAGCCUUGUACAAGGAGAGGAUAAAGCAUUAACAUGAUAAAAAGAUCCUCAAUCGAGACUUCCAGCCAAAAGAUAAUGUCCUGUUGUACAACUUACGACUGAAGCUUUUCCUAGGCAACCUGAAAUCCAAAUGGUCCGAGCUUUUCCAAGUGGUAAGUGCUUCACCCAAAGGCGCAAUUGAAUUGAAGUCUAGAGAUGAGACUCAGACUUUUAAGGUGAAUGGAUAGAGGGUAAAGCAUUACCAUGGCUGCAUUGAUGGUGACAUAAUUGUUGAUAGGCACCGCUUGAAGCAUGGUUAUACUCCUGAUCCUGGGGGAAGUGGUAGCACCGUCGUGCCGCGACGUUAAAUCAAGCGCUCCUUGGAAGGCAACCCAAGUUUAAUUUCAUGAUGUGUGAUUUAUUUUAUGUGGAUUGUUUUGAUGUUUAUUUUUUAUAGGAAUGCAAAAAAUUGCAGGUCAAUUGAAAGCCAAAGGUUCAAAAGGGGAAGAUCAAUGAACCAGAAAAAAAAUUGCCCCUCAGGUAAAGUGAUCCGCGUCGCAUUUCGGAGAAUGCGAACGCAGUUGGUCACGCAUAUCCGAGUCAGUGUACCUGGUAAGUAAUGGUGAAAUUGAGGCAAAAUGUGGAACGACAUGCGUCGCAUUCUCCCAUCUGCAGAUGAGAAUGUAUCGCAUUUCACUAACUCAAUCGUGUCGAGAUCCGACCCGCAAAGCAAAUUCCCUCUUUAUUUUAAAACAUAGUUUAGGCGGUUUUCAUUCAACCUAAAUAAUUAGAACACAAACGAAAACGACUCUAUCACCCUAAGAAUUCCAACCAUCUCAACUCAUGAUCUCACCACCGUAUUAGCUCAUCUCUAUACUCUUGUCUCCGUCGUCUAACAGCAUGACUUCCAGGCGAACCUCACAUCUAAGGGCUGCUAGAAAAAAAUGACGAGAAAAAAGAUGCCCCAUCUUCCUUGACAAGAAAUCAACAGGCAGUUGAGUCUGAUUCCUCAUCUGACCCAGACAUAGAAGCCAUACUGAGGCUGUCUAAAGAGGAAGAGGCCCGACAAGCUGAACUUCGCCGGAAAAAGAGGGAGGAUGCCCUUCGUUUCAGUAGGAUCCUUGGGAUAAAGGAAAUGUUCUUAGAAAGCAGAGAGAAAAGAAAUUUCAACGAUGAGAAACAAUUCAGUUUGAAUGGGUUGAAAGAGAGUUUCCCCAGAGUUUUGGAGCUGAUCAACAAGCAUGACUGGGAUGUGUUCACAGAUCCACCGAGGAAGUACAACCAGACUUUGGUCCGCGAAUUUUAUGCGGUGUAUGCUGCAGCUAUGAAAAAACUCAAGUGGUCGGGACUUAAAAAGCUGCGACACUGCCUCGAUAGUGUUCAAGUUAGAGGUGUUUAGGUUGAAUGUCACGCCAAAGUAAUGAACAAGUAUUAUUUUGCACGUGACUUACCUGUAGCCGAAGAAUUUAACACGAGGAUGGCAAACUAGGAUAGUGAGUUGCAUCGGUGAUCUCAGCCGAAGAAGAGCCAGCAUGGCUGAACCCGAACUUCAAAAUUAAGAGGAAUAGCCUCACCAUUGAGGCGAAACAUUGGCUAAACUUCAUCACUUGCCGCUUGAUGCCAACAAAGAAUGACUAGGACAGCCUCAUUGAAAAAGAGUCUUGUUAUCAUAUAAAUGUGGGCGAAAUAAUUGCUGCUGAAAUGGGGCAUCGAUCUAACCAUGGUAAUACCUUAUUGCCUUUCCCAUGCUUGGCUACAAGGUUGUGCUUAGUGGCCAAGAUACCCAAACUCCCCCGAAUUGAGAUCGCGGUCGAUGCAUAUGGGGAAAUUGACAUUCUCAACAGCAAAGAUGACAUGAAACCGGCUACAAAGAAAAGAAAAGGAGAUUCAUUCCCUGCUAGAGGGCCCGACACUAAGAUUAAGCGCUUGGUAAGGGGUGAGAGCGAGGCAGUUGCUACUGCUUUUACCAGAACCCCUCAGAGACUUCAUCCACCUCCUACCCCUAUUUGAGGCCUGAUCAAGCUCUCUCGCGGGAGCGAUUGCUACAAAUGGCCAAUGUUACUGCUCUUCACAACCAGAAGCUGAAUAAUUUGGUGGUGUCAGUCCCGAAAUGGAUAGAAAAAGCUCUUGUGCCCAUCCGCUUGUCCAUAGUGAAGCUCGAAGCAAGGGUUGACAGCCUUGAGGCGAAGGACAGAAACAACGAUAUUACAGACAUCAGAACUGAGUUGACCAAAGUUAAAACAGAUAUUCAGUUGCUCAAGCCUGACUUGAGAAUAUUUGAUAUCCCAGUGCCACCACCAGUAAAUGUGACAGAUGAUACGACUCAGCUUGUCAAGGAGUGCAGGGGGGCUCUGAUUCAGAGACAGAUGAAGAGAUUGAGAAUACAGAUGAGCCUGCGAAAGGAAAGAAAGUUGUUGAUGAGGUGAUCGAGGUAGCAGGGGUAGCAGAGAUGCCUGAGAAAGCAUAGAUACAGAUUGCGACAGCCCAGUCCAUAGAGAAGUAUGCUGAUAGGCUAAAAAGAGUCGGAUCGAGCUCUCAGGGAGCUACUAAGCAGUCGUCUUAAGAUGGCAGCUUAGACAUCCUGAUCUCUCUAUUACUCCAAUAGCACACUCAGAUGCAGCAGUCCCUCCUGCGCAGUCAUCGCCUGCAGCUCUUGCCACCGCCGUAUUAGUUACCGAUCCCAGUUUUACGGCCUCCGAGGCCCAGACUGAUCAGCGCGCUUAGUGCGCCUUAGGGAGUCCUUACCAUCACUUAUAUUUGAUUUGAUGCAUUAAGGACAAUGCAUGCUUUUUUGGUUGGGGUGGGGCUAUUUGAUUUUUGGUAUAUUUUGUUGUAUAUAUGUGUUUAGGACCCCCCCCCCCCCCCCCCCCUUGACUUUUCUGUGCCAUGGUUCUUUUCCUGAGGGGUUAUUAGUUCUGUUGAACCUGGACUGUUUAGGUUGUUGCUUAGGUAAAAUAGAGUAAUUUUGACUUAUAUGGUGGUGAUUUUUGAACUUAUGGCAUGUAUUGUUGAAAACUGUAAUGAGAUGAACCUUACAAAAUUUGAUGCAGACUCAGAAAA
Lycium barbarum (goji berry) is the source of this 3230-nucleotide RNA transcript. It is a transcript of the gene named L10-interacting MYB domain-containing protein-like, with no coding region annotated. NCBI's taxonomy places the organism in Eukaryota, Viridiplantae, Streptophyta, Magnoliopsida, Solanales, Solanaceae. The transcript has 2 exons. The record is from RefSeq and is a predicted model, not a curated record.